AUCAUGGAGAGUUUGAUCCUGGCUCAGAACGAACGCUGGCGGCGCGUCUUAAGCAUGCAAGUCGAGCGGUAACCGGAAGCUUGCUUCCGGCUAGAGCGGCGGACUGGUGAGUAACGCGUGGGUGACCUACCCUUAGGCUGGGGAUAGCCGGUAGAAAUAUCGGAUAAUACCGAAUAACCUUGUUUGAUUUUGAUUUUACAAGGAAAGGAGCUUCGGUUCCGCCUGAGGAUGGGCCCGCGUCCUAUUAGCCUGUUGGCGGGGUAAUGGCCCACCAAAGCUAUGAUAGGUAGCCGGCCUGAGAGGGUGAACGGCCACAUUGGGACUGAGAUACGGCCCAAACUCCU
This 344-nucleotide ribosomal RNA is filed under the name Spirochaetaceae bacterium. Its description in RNAcentral is "bacterial SSU rRNA". It matches the Rfam family "Bacterial small subunit ribosomal RNA", at positions 1 to 340 of the family's 1533-position model. The record is from RNAcentral. Lineage: Bacteria; Pseudomonadati; Spirochaetota; Spirochaetia; Spirochaetales; Spirochaetaceae.